AUUGAACGCUGGCGGCAUGCCUUACACAUGCAAGUCGAACGGUAACGGGCCUUCGGGUGCCGACGAGUGGCGAACGGGUGAGUAAUGCAUCGGAACGUACCUUUCAGUGGGGGAUAACGUAGCGAAAGUUACGCUAAUACCGCAUAUUCUGUGAGCAGGAAAGCAGGGGAUCGCAAGACCUUGCGCUGAUUGAGCGGCCGAUGUCAGAUUAGCUAGUUGGUGAGGUAAAGGCUCACCAAGGCGACGAUCUGUAGCGGGUCUGAGAGGAUGAUCCGCCACACUGGGACUGAGACACGGCCCAGACUCCUACGGGAGGCAGCAGUGGGGAAUUUUGGACAAUGGGGGCAACCCUGAUCCAGCCAUGCCGCGUGAGUGAAGAAGGCCUUCGGGUUGUAAAGCUCUUUCGGCCGGGAAGAAAUCGCACAGGCUAAUACCUUGUGUGGAUGACGGUACCGGAAUAAGAAGCACCGGCUAACUACGUGCCAGCCGCCGCGGUAA
Molecule: ribosomal RNA, 498 nt
Filed under: uncultured bacterium
Lineage: Bacteria
Description: partial 16S ribosomal RNA
Rfam family: Bacterial small subunit ribosomal RNA
Source: RNAcentral